Molecule: ribosomal RNA, 119 nt
Filed under: Mastacembelus armatus (zig-zag eel)
Lineage: Eukaryota; Metazoa; Chordata; Actinopteri; Synbranchiformes; Mastacembelidae
Source: RNAcentral
UUUGGUGGCCACACCUUAGUGUCAGCGCCCAAUAGCGUUCGAUCUCAGAAGCUAAGCAGGGCUGUGCCUGGUUAGUACUUGGAAGGGAGAACAACUUGGAAGACCACGGGCCUCUAGCC